CCUACGGGUGGCAGCAGUGGGGAAUAUUGGACAAUGGGCGAAAGCCUGAUCCAGCCAUGCCGCGUGUGUGAAGAAGGCCUUCGGGUUGUAAAGCACUUUCAGUGGGGAAGAAAGCCUUGGGGCUAAUACCCUCGAGGAAGGACAUCACCCACAGAAGAAGCACCGUCUAACUCCGUGCCAGCAGCCGCGGUAAUACGGAGGGUGCGAGCGUUAAUCGGAAUUACUGGGCGUAAAGCGCGCGUAGGCGGUCUGAUAAGCCGGUUGUGAAAGCCCCGGGAUCAACCUGGGAACGGCAUCCGGAACUGUCAGGCUAGAGUGCAGGAGAGGAAGGUAGAAUUCCCGGUGUAGCGGUGAAAUGCGUAGAGAUCGGGAGGAAUAUCAGUGGCGAAGGCGGCCUUCUGGACUGACACUGACGCUGAGGUGCGAAAGCGUGGGUAGCAAACAGGAUUAGAUACCCGAGUAGUC
RNAcentral lists this ribosomal RNA (465 nucleotides) under Vreelandella stevensii. Its description in RNAcentral is "partial 16S ribosomal RNA". It matches the Rfam family "Bacterial small subunit ribosomal RNA", at positions 338 to 795 of the family's 1533-position model. The record is from RNAcentral. Lineage: Bacteria; Pseudomonadati; Pseudomonadota; Gammaproteobacteria; Oceanospirillales; Halomonadaceae.